RNAcentral lists this transfer RNA (48 nucleotides) under Vernonia incana. RNAcentral's name for it is "partial tRNA-His". The stretch from base 6 to 48 matches the Rfam family "tRNA", at positions 1 to 41 of the family's 71-position model. Rfam says of the family: Transfer RNA (tRNA) molecules are approximately 80 nucleotides in length. Their secondary structure includes four short double-helical elements and three loops (D, anti-codon, and T loops). Lineage: Eukaryota; Viridiplantae; Streptophyta; Magnoliopsida; Asterales; Asteraceae. The record is from RNAcentral.
GAGGGGCGGAUGUAGCCAAGUGGAUCAAGGCAGUGGAUUGUGAAUCCA